GCCCAAAUGCAGCAGACACAAGAGCCAUUUGUUUCCGCUCUGGCUGCUGGGACCGGAAGUAGGCGCCGCGAUGCAUUCGGGGAUAUGGAGUUUAACAACUGUAUGCUUCCCGAGAGGAGGCAUCUGACACAAUGACUCGGCAUUUUUAUGAGAGUGUAAUGGGGUGAUUUUGGUGACUCAGCUCCGGCUGUAGUUGAAAGCCAAAAGUCCGAUGGCCAGCACUCCCCCAAACGUAUCACGGGCAGCCACUGUGCGCAGCCGCACUAAUCAGGCGGUCUAUUUCAAUGGCACCUUGCUUCCUCUAUCAGAGCGUCACCUGCAGCGGAGAAGUGCCGAUCGCUCCUGACCUGGUUUGGCUGUGGAGAUCACUGUGAAGGGCCCCAAACUACACCCCAGACCUGCACCCCCUACGGAUCACCCCGGUCCAGCCUUCCUCAGUCAUUAGUGGCGUCUCAGCAGUUUGGAGAAGAAUCCAGAACCUUUGUGAGUCUUGUUCUCAUCCUCAACACUCUGGACCUUGGCGGCCCCCAGGCCGAGCUCCCCUUCCAGUUGAUCCAGCUCGGCCUGGUCCAGCAGCUCAAAGUCCUCCACCUCGCUGUCAAACUCCUCCACCAGCUCCGGCGCCGUGGUGGACUCUUGGAAUCGGGACCAAUCUAGACAGUUUUGGUCUGAGCUCGCUGCGAAACCAAGGACCGCCUUACUUCUUUCCUGAAUGGCGGCCGUGACGGCGGCGGUGAUGACGUCACUGGCUAGGUCCAGAGCUUUGUGGGUGGGCAUGUCCUCUGCUGGGGGAGGUGCACACUUGCCCCUGAUUGGCUGAGGAAGACUGAAGUCGUCUUCUUCGUCACCAUUGGUCGACGCCCCGUUGUCAAGAGAGGGAAACUCUGGAAGACCGCCAGUGAACGCCUCUUCUCUGUCCAGGAAUGCCGCGAUGCCAAAGUCCAGUUUCUGCAAAACCGGCUUCAGCCACAAAGACACCUCUUGAGACGACACCAGAGGCCACAGGAAGAUAGACAGCACUGCGGAGAAGAGGAAAUGCGGGACUUAAUGAAUAUUAAUGUUCAUGUGAGGGCGCCUUGAUGAGAAACGAAGACUCACCAAGAAGAUACGAGACGACAAUCCCUGGAAUGUAGCGUCCGAGGACAGCAAAGAAGGUGCAAAAGCUACAAACCAGCAAACAGAACUGCAGGACAAAGGACACGUGUGCUGAAAAGAACCAGACCACUCCACCAAAGCGGGUCUGACCCACUGGGCCCGGUUCUUCCUCACCUUGCCAGGGUUCUGCUGCUUGAAGGCUGACAUCUCCUGCAGGAAGAGGCGGAGCGAGCUGCCCAGGUGAAGCCCGUCGCUGGACCCGCUGUCCUGGCCCGAGUCCAUCAUUUCCCAGCUGUGACACAGACAAGGUCAAAGGUCACUGUCAGCCAUUUUUACAAUAUCAGCAUGAUGUCAUGUUUGCGCUGCAGCGUUGGCCUGCUAGCCCCUCCCACCUUACCAUUAAUAACCCCCCAGGCCCCCACGCCCCCUACCCCCACCCAGGCACAUGUACAUCCCACAUCUGACCCCCGUGAGGAGGCUGUUUCCUGGGAAACGUGGACACCAGACCCGCAUGUUCCACGAAAGCGUUCCACUGGAAUCUGCUGAGUCAUCUGUUGACUUUGGUCAUGAUUCAGCAAAAUAUGAUAUAUAUAAAUAUGAAAUAUUCUUCCUUUACCAAGACAAACACAAAAACUAAUGUUAGUAAGUUAAGUUCAAAGUACUUGAAGGAGUUGGUGCAAAUCUUGUUAAACUUAGUCUUAAGUCAUCUUCAAUGAACCAGGAAGUGACCUGCCAGCCACCAAAAAGACUAGCGUAACAAGCUAACAGAGUAUGAACUUGCACUUUUGAAAGAGGUGAUAAACGUCACGACAGGAAGAGAGAAGUCCAUCAAAUAUUUCAUCAGCACAUGAAAGGACCUCUUCGUUCAGGCAGCAUCCUUCAGUGCAACAAUAUAACAAUAAACAAUAUCCAAUAAUAGCAUCAUCAUCCUCAAAUAGACGCGACAACAGGAGCAUCUUGGGUGAGAUUGGAAUAUAAGGUGAGUAACGGGAUGGAAAAGACGUAUGAAUCAGGAAGACACAGCAAGGCUCCAUGGACCUGGUGGACUUUAUGGUACCAGAAUAAGAAGAAGAACACGAUGGAACCACAUGGAACCACACAGAGAAAGAUUCAUGACCUCACAUAAAAGCCAUUCAAGACUGUUUAGGCUUCCCCUCGAACCAUUACCUCCGAGACCCGCUGAGGGUCUUUCAGCUCUCCCGGUUCUGAACCCCAUCCCAUACCUGAGUCCUGCUCCACGGUCUUCGGGAGACAUGUUAGAUCCACCAGCGGCCAAAAGAGACAGGAGAGGCUCACGGUGACGAAGAAGCAAACAGUCGGUCUGAGAGCUAGAAAUCGCAGGUUCGAGUCUGGCUGGUGUUGAAGUGAUGGCGACUUGUGUUUAUGCUCAAUGAAGCCCAGUCCGCUUAUUUCAAGCCCCCGGCUCUAAAAAUAACACAGUCACAUUACAUCGUGACAGGCAGUCACCAGCAGCACAGCGUUGUGACGUAGUACCGGGGUGGGGUGCAGCAGGGGGCCGCAGCCGCACAUUGCCAAGCCCCCCCCCCCCAGACUGACAUGGGAAAUGACUUAAAUAUUGUGGUUCAACCACGCCCACAGACUGUUGAUUGACAGCUCUGACACAAAUACGCUGACUCAUCUUUGUCAAUGAUAAAUAUCUUUACCACAAGUGACGUUUGUUUGUUUGUGGCAUCCAAUCAGAGGGCUCGCAAAGGAGCACUCCCCUCCCCGGCCAGCCGCCUGAUUGGUUCACCUGUCUCGCUGUGUUGACGCUGUUCUGGAAAAAGCUGAAUCACACGCGCACACACGCACACACACACACACACUGACCGUUCAGGUUUCACAACUCUUGAGACACUUGAAGUUUGUUGUGGGAACACACAGUCGUCUUCCUGCAACGCUCACAUGAUGUUUAUGCACUUUUACUACACACACACACACACAUUGAUUGACAGCUCUCUCACUCUGCUGCAGGUACCUCAGGUUGGUAAACAUGGCGCCCCUUUCACAAUGAAAAGGUUGGGUUGCGUCGGUCACAAACAUGAUGACUGUGACAUCACAGCAGCAAUAAAGCGUAGAAUUAUAGAUAUAAAGCCAAUAGAAUCCUGUUGCGAAACAACAGUAGCGUAGUGGGACAAUUACACGGGUGACAUUUCAGUGUUUCUGUCAGCAGCUAAUCUCCCACAAUCCUUUGCCUGAGCGCUGAGGCACCGCCCGUCACAUGACGCCGCUGACGGACAGCGACAGGUGACAAUGACGCAACGCAGACAAAUGUCAGGCAAGUAGACAAACAGGCGGUGUCCACGUUACAGAGCCAUGCUGAGAGGACGACAUCUACAAAAACAACAAGUGGUUGUUGGUCACAUGACCCCAUAUGGCCCAACCCUGACCUUUAGGCCUUGGCUGCAUGUUCUACAGCUCAGGGAGGAUUCAUCAGCCAUGGAUUCAUCAUCAAUUGAGCUUGAAAGUCAGUUUGCCAAUUUGGGAGGCUUUCUUGGAACUAACUUCAUGUCAAAGCUGUAGUCACAUGACAUUUUCUACACGCCACCCAGAGACUUCAAGCACACUUCAAGUAGAAGAAGCAGCCUUCAAGUUGUAUACAUGCAGUACUCUCAUCCAGUUUGCUGCGUAAAGUAGACAUGACGUCAACUACAGCCGUGAAUAUCUCCACUCUGAGCUACAAUGUGAUCAAUAUGUAUCAAUGGUUAUGAAAAAUAAUAUCACAAAUUCAUCACACGUCCAUUCUAACACACAACAGCUUAGCUACAUUUAGACUGGGGCCCCCAAAAGCUCCAUGACCUGUACUGGAACCCAGGAAGACUUUGGCACCACACAUCACAGGCGGGUGAGGAACAUUUUCCUCACAUUUACACAAAUAAUCUUUUUGUUGUUGUUUGGAUAAGCUGAUGAGACGUGAUAAAACGUCUUUACGUAAACUCUCCCCUCCUCGAGUACGAUCAACAAUGGGAUGAGUUGAGGAUCUUCUUACCUUGCUGACAUGCUGCUCCACAAGGGAGUUGCUGUGGAGAACAUUAGCAGAAGGUUAAAACCAAGUAGACCGGACUUCAAGUUCUACGUCAACUUGAUGUCUUGAUUAGAUUAACCAAGUUUGUGUUCCCCACAGGACUAAUCUAUUUGUGGUGGUGGGUUGUGGGUAGCUGAUGUCAUGUCAUGUCGCCGGUCACUUUAAAAAAAAAAAUCUACACAGGUCUGAAUGCUCUCUAACUAUAGCAAGAAAGUCGCUAAAUUGGCAACAGUGAUCCCUCCUGCUACUUAUUCUUAUUCUUUGGCGUAGCAGCUGUGUAUGAGUUAGGAUGCUAUCUACUGUAUGAAGUUGGAACUGCAAGCUACAUUCACGGACACUGCCAUUAUAAUGUGUUAUCAAAUUUAUCUGUGGCGGUCCAAAUGUAUUUGUGUAAAGCCACCACAAAUAAAUACAUACCAUAAAUGGGAAACACUGACUUUGGACUCUUGACAAGUGAAGCGAUGCUGAAGUUACCUUUGGAUGUGUGGCAGACAACAUCUCUGGCGGUCGCCUUGACGACCACCACAGCCAGCAGGAGGGCAACGAGGGUGGAGGUCCGC
This is a non-coding RNA of Doryrhamphus excisus (bluestripe pipefish), 4680 nucleotides long. The record is from RefSeq and is a predicted model, not a curated record. NCBI's taxonomy places the organism in Eukaryota, Metazoa, Chordata, Actinopteri, Syngnathiformes, Syngnathidae.